Molecule: unclassified non-coding RNA, 1813 nt
Filed under: uncultured fungus
Lineage: Eukaryota; Fungi
Description: sequence contains 18S rRNA gene, ITS1, 5.8S rRNA gene, ITS2, 28S rRNA gene
Rfam family: Eukaryotic large subunit ribosomal RNA (bases 694-1813)
Source: RNAcentral
GGUUGGAUCAUUACAACGUAUCCACGUAUAAACCUUGUCGUUGAACCUGUUUUGUUGACUUUUUUUUUUUUCCAAUCUUCGGAAAGGAGAAAAAAGGCCAGCAUCUACCAUUUUUCAUAUUAACCACUUUGUAACCAAACUGAUUUUGUUUUUUACAAAACUUUCUUUCUCUUGCCUGUUGCGAACCGGGGAAACUCGGCGAGCCUGGCUUGAAAGGAAAUAAAACUAAAUAAGAAAUUAAAGCACAACUCUUAACAACGGAUAUCUAGGCUCUCGUAACGAUGAAGAACGCAGCGAAAUGCGAUACGUAAUGCGAAUUGCAGAAUUCAGUGAAUCAUCAAAUCUUUGAACGCAACUUGCGCUUCCGGGAAUGCCUGGGAGCAUGCCUCUCUGAGUAUCGUUUCACCACAACCUUGCCUGCGUGUGUAUUUCUUCGGAAGUGCGUGCGUAUGUGCAGAUAAUGGGCUGUUUCAGACGCCGACGCGUUUGAAUCGCCUGAAACGUAUACGCUACUUGUCCUCUUCCUCGUUUCUGGUGUUUUCGAACAACAGGACUUGGUUGAUGUUGAUAAUUGGCCUUUAUGGUCAUUCACUGUCACAUCGAUCAGGAGAGUUAGAGACAAAAGCUUAUUCAAGGAAAAAACAAAAAAAAAAAAAAGAACUUCGGUUAUUUUAUUUUUUUAAAACUUAAUCUUGAUCUCAGAUGAAGCAAGAGAACCCGCCGAAUUUAAGCAUAUUAUUAAGCGGAGGAAAAGAAACUAACAAGGAUUCCCCUAGUAACGGCGAGUGAAGCGGGAAGAGCUCAAAGUUAAAAUCGGGGUACCUAGCGGUGCUUCCGAAUUGUAAUCUCGAGACGUCUUAUCAGCAUCGACCCGGGUAUAAAUCUUUUGAAACAAGGUGUCAUAGAGGGUGAGAAUCCCGUCUUUGAUCCGGAGUUCGGUGCGUACGAGGGGCGCUCCAAGAGUCGAAUAGCUUGGGAAUGCUGUUCUAAAUGGGUGGUAAAUUUCAUCUAAAGCUAAAUAUCGACGAGAGACCGAUAGCGAACAAGUACCGUGAGGGAAAGAUGAAAAGAACUUUGAAAAGAGAGUUAAAAAGUACUUGAAAUUGUUAAGAAGGAAGCACUGGAAACCAGUACUGUCUUUGUAUAUGGGCACUACGUUCGUGAGAGGGCAAAUCGGUAUCUCAUCGAGCCGACCAAACUUCAGAGCGAGCGUAGUGUUCUCGUAUGGGGGCGAACUCAGGAUCGGGUCGUCUCGCAGAAGAAAACUAACGGAAGGUAGUCAGCCCGUAGUGAUAUUGGUUGAAACUUAUAGCCGUUGGUGAAGCUGUGGGGCGGCCUGAGGAACCAACGUAGUCCUUUCCGCAAGGCUGCUGGUGGGGUCUCCUUUCUGGCCGUGGCUUUGAAGAGCAAAGCUCUGUAGAGGUCACGGUUGGUUACUGGGGCUACACUAGACCAAGGACUCGGGAUCUUGAGUAAAUGGUUUUCAUUGACCCGUCUUGAAACACGGACCAAGGAGUCUAACAUAUAUGCGAGUAUUUGGGCCUGAAAACCCUGAUGCGCAAUGAAAGUGAAGGUAGACCUAGUCUACUGAGGUAGGAACCGCAAGGGGCACUAUCGACCGAUCGUUCAUUCAUGAAAGAUUUGAGUAAGAGCAUAUCUGUUGGGACCCGAAAGAUGGUGAACUAUGCCUGAUCAGGGUGAAGCCAGGGGAAACUCUGGUGGAGGCUCGUAGCGAUACUGACGUGCAAAUCGUUCGUCUGAAUUGGGUAUAGGGGCGAAAGACUAAUCGAACUAUCUAGUAGCUGGUUCCCGC